GCUCGGGCCGGGAGCCGGAGGCAGAGGAGGGCGCGGCGCCCCGCGGAGUUGCUGGCAGGGCUGGCGCAGAGCCGGGCCCCCGCGUCCCGCGCGGUGAGCCGCCGAGACAAUAAAGUAGCGGUCGGCAGCCCCCGAGCGCCCGAGGGAGGCGGCGGCGCGGCAGAUUUAAUCACGACUCUGCAGUGCUUCUGAGCAGACAAAAAGGACGUUUUGGCUAACUGACAAUACAAAUAAGGCUUGGAUGAGAAAUCCAGAAGAAAGAAUGUGUGAAAGAAAAAGAUGACAUCUGUGCAUGGCAAAACAAAUCCAAAGAUUAUUACAAUAAAAACAAACCGAGGUCAAGAGAACA
Molecule: long non-coding RNA, 349 nt
Filed under: Canis lupus dingo (dingo)
Lineage: Eukaryota; Metazoa; Chordata; Mammalia; Carnivora; Canidae
Description: lncRNA (ENSCAFG00020012169.1)
Source: RNAcentral